This 460-nucleotide ribosomal RNA is filed under the name uncultured bacterium. RNAcentral describes it as "partial 16S ribosomal RNA". It matches the Rfam family "Bacterial small subunit ribosomal RNA", at positions 338 to 795 of the family's 1533-position model. The record is from RNAcentral.
CCUACGGGUGGCAGCAGUGAGGAAUAUUGGUCAAUGGACGAGAGUCUGAACCAGCCAAGUAGCGUGAAGGAUGACUGCCCUAUGGGUUGUAAACUUCUUUUAUAAAGGAAUAAAACGAGGCACGUGUGCCUUUUUGCAUGUACUUUAUGAAUAAGGAUCGGCUAACUCCGUGCCAGCAGCCGCGGUAAUACGGAGGAUCCGAGCGUUAUCCGGAUUUAUUGGGUUUAAAGGGAGCGUAGAUGGGUUGUUAAGUCAGUUGUGAAAGGUUGCGGCUCAACCGUAAACUUGCACUUGAUACUGGCAGUCUUGAGUACAGUUGAGGUAGGCGGAAUGCGUGGUGUAGCGGUGAAAUGCUUAGAUAUCACGAAGAACCCCGAUUGCGAAGGCAGCUUACUAAACUGAGACUGACAGUGAUGCUCGAAAGUGUGGGUAUCAAACAGGAUUAGAUACCCCAGUAGUC